RNAcentral lists this ribosomal RNA (501 nucleotides) under uncultured bacterium. RNAcentral's name for it is "partial 16S ribosomal RNA". It matches the Rfam family "Bacterial small subunit ribosomal RNA", at positions 29 to 523 of the family's 1533-position model. The record is from RNAcentral.
AUUGAACGCUGGCAGCAUGCCUUCCACAUGCAAGUCGAACGGCAGCACGGGAGCUUGCUCCUGGUGGCGAGUGGCGAACGGGUGAGUAAUACAUCGGAACGUACCCAGUAGUGGGGGAUAACGCACCGAAAGGUGCGCUAAUACCGCAUACGACCUAAGGGUGAAAGCGGGGGACCGUAAGGCCUCGCGCUAUUAGAGCGGCCGAUGCCUGAUUAGCUUGUUGGUGGGGUAAAAGCCCACCAAGGCGACGAUCAGUAGCUGGGCUGAGAGGACGAUCCGCCACACUGGGACUGAGACACGGCCCAGACUCCUACGGGAGGCAGCAGUGGGGAAUUUUGGACAAUGGGGGCAACCCGGAUCCAGCAAUGCCGCGUGAGGGAAGAAGGCCUUCGGGUUGUAAAGCUCUUUUGUCAGGGAAGAAACACCGGCUCUAACACAGUCCGGGAAUGACGGUACCUGAAGAAUAAGCACCGGCUAACUACGUGCCAGCAGCCGCCGUAA